CAGUAGCCGCGGUAACACCGAGGGUGCAAGCGUUAAUCGGAUUUACUGGGCGUAAAGGGCGCGUAGGUGGUUAUUUAAGUGAGAUGUGAAAGCCCCGGGCUUAACCUGGGAACUGCAUCUUAUACUGGGUAACUGGAGUGCAGUAGAGGGUGGUGGAAUUUCCGGUGUAGCGGUGAAAUGCGUAGAUAUCGGAAGGAGCACCAGUGGCGAAGGCGGCUACCUGGACUGAGACUGACACUGAGGCGCGAGAGCGUGGGGAGCAAACAGGAUUAGAUACCCCAGUAGUCCCUGUCUCUUAUAC
This 301-nucleotide ribosomal RNA is filed under the name uncultured bacterium. Its description in RNAcentral is "partial 16S ribosomal RNA". It matches the Rfam family "Bacterial small subunit ribosomal RNA", at positions 509 to 807 of the family's 1533-position model. The record is from RNAcentral.